Molecule: ribosomal RNA, 766 nt
Filed under: Peranema trichophorum
Lineage: Eukaryota; Euglenozoa; Peranemea; Peranemida; Peranemidae
Description: SSU rRNA
Rfam family: Eukaryotic small subunit ribosomal RNA
Source: RNAcentral
CCUAAACGAGAAAUCCAGAACCUAUGGAUUCAGGGGGGAGUACUGUCGCAAGGCUGAAACUUAAAGGAAUUGACGGAGUGACACCACAAGGUGUGGAGUAUGCGGCUUAAUUUGACUCAACACGGGGAACCUUACCAGGUCAGGACGCAGUUAGGAUUGACAGACUGUGAGCUCUUUCUUGAUCCUGUGGAGGGUGGUGCAUGGCCGUUCUUAGUUCGUGGAUUGGUCUGUCUGGUUAAUUCCGUAAACGAACGAGAACUCUACCUUCCAAUAGACCUUCAUCUCGUUGUAAUGGCUUGUCCUGCGAUGUAGUUUACUAUGUUGUCUGGAGCUUGUCCAGAGAGUUUGAGGUGCUUCUGCAAGGGACUGUGUGACGUCAAGCACACUGAGGUUAGAGUCAACAGCAGGUCUGUGAUGCUCCUAAAUGUCCUGGGCUGCACGCGCACUACACUGGCAAGGACACUUAGCUGAACCAGCUCCGGCUGGUCCUUCUCCGUGAGGAGUGGGUAACCUGUUAACCCUCAAUUAGUCAUGUUUGAGCCGUGUCAGGGAUAGAUGUUUGCAAUUAUCCACCUUGAACGAGGAAUACCUAGUAAGCAUAGGUCAUCAGCCUAUAUUGAUUACGUCCCUGCCACUUGUACACACCGCCCGUCGUUGCUACUGAUGGUAUGGUAACAGAGGCUGGAAGAGAGACGCUUUCUCUCGAGUUGGCUGUCUCAAAUCCAUCCAAUGUUGUCAUGCUAGAAGAAGCAAAAGUCGUAACAAG